AUACGUAGGGGGCUAGCGUUAUCCGGAUUUACUGGGCGUAAAGGGUGCGUAGGUGGUUUCUUAAGUCAGGAGUGAAAGGCUACGGCUCAACCGUAGUAAGCUCUUGAAACUGGGAAACUUGAGUGCAGGAGAGGAAAGUGGAAUUCCUAGUGUAGCGGUGAAAUGCGUAGAUAUUAGGAGGAACACCAGUAGCGAAGGCGGCUUUCUGGUCUGUAACUGACGCUGAGGCUCGAAAGCGUGGGGAGC
This 246-nucleotide ribosomal RNA is filed under the name uncultured bacterium. RNAcentral describes it as "partial 16S ribosomal RNA". It matches the Rfam family "Bacterial small subunit ribosomal RNA", at positions 523 to 769 of the family's 1533-position model. The record is from RNAcentral.